Molecule: ribosomal RNA, 484 nt
Filed under: uncultured bacterium
Lineage: Bacteria
Description: partial 16S ribosomal RNA
Rfam family: Bacterial small subunit ribosomal RNA
Source: RNAcentral
AUUGAACGCUGGCGGCAUGCUUUACACAUGCAAGUCGAACGGCAGCGCGGGCUUCGGCCUGGCGGCGAUUGGCGAACGGGUGAGUAAUACAUCGGAACGUGCCCAGUAGUGGGGGAUAGCUCGGCGAAAGCCGGAUUAAUACCGCAUACGACCUGAGGGUGAAAGCGGGGGAUCUUCGGACCUCGCGCUAUUAGAGCGGCCGAUGGCAGAUUAGCUAGUUGGUGGGGUAAAGGCCUACCAAGGCGACGAUCUGUAGCUGGUCUGAGAGGACGACCAGCCACACUGGGACUGAGACACGGCCCAGACUCCUACGGGAGGAAGCAGUGGGGAAUUUUGGACAAUGGGCGAAAGCCUGAUCCAGCAAUGCCGCGUGUGUGAUGAAGGCCUUCGGGUUGUAAAGCACUUUUGGCGGGAACGAAAAGGACUGUGCCAAUACCACGGUUCGAUGACGGUACCCGCAGAAUAAGCACCGGCUAACUCCGUG